GAUGAACGCUGGCGGCGUGCCUAAUACAUGCAAGUCGAGCGAACGGACGAGGAGCUUGCGUCUCUGAUGUUAGCGGCGGACGGGUGAGUAACACGUGGAUAACCCACCUAUAAGACUGGGAUAACUUCGGGAAACCGGAGCUACUACCGGAUAAUAUUUUGAACCGCAUGGUGCAAAAGUGAAAGACGGUCUUGCUGUCACUUAUAGAUGGAUCCGCGCUGCAUUAGCUAGUUGGUAAGGUAACGGCUUACCAAGGCAACGAUGCAUAGCCGAGCUGAGAGAGUGAUAGGCCGCCCGAGAGCGGAGCCGGCGUCCAGAGGCCUGAGGGAGGCAGCAGUAGCGAACGGUACGCAGCGGUCGGGAACAUGACGCAGCGGCGGCGAGCGAGAGACGACGGCGUUGCGAGCGGAAUACUCUCUUACGAGGUGUAAACAUAUGUGUAAGUGGAUGUAGAGAUAGUGACGGUACCUAAUCAGAAAGCCACGGCUAACUACGUG
This 497-nucleotide ribosomal RNA is filed under the name uncultured bacterium. Its description in RNAcentral is "partial 16S ribosomal RNA". It matches the Rfam family "Bacterial small subunit ribosomal RNA", at positions 28 to 507 of the family's 1533-position model. The record is from RNAcentral.